UGGGGAAUAUUGCACAAUGGGCGAAAGCCUGAUGCAGCAACGCCGCGUGAGUGAUGAAGGCCUUCGGGUUGUAAAGCUCUGUCUUUUGGGACGAUAAUGAUGGUACCAAAGGAGGAAGCCACGGCUAACUACGUGCCAGCAGCCGCGGUAAUACGUAGGUGGCAAGCGUUGUCCGGAUUUACUGGGCGUAAAGGAUGCGUAGGCGGAUUUUUAAGUGAGAUGUGAAAACCCUAAGCUUAACUUGGGGACUGCAUUUCAUACUGGAAAUCUAGAGUGCGGGAGAGGAGAAUGGAAUUCCUAGUGUAGCGGUGAAAUGCGUAGAGAUUAGGAAGAACACCAGUGGCGAAGGCGAUUCUCUGGACCGUAACUGGCGCUGAGGCAUGAAAGCGUGGGUAGCAAACAGGAUUAGAUACCCUGGUAGUCCACGCCGUAAACGAUGAGUACUAGGUGUAGGAGGUAUCGACCCCUUCUGUGCCGCAGUUAACACAAUAAGUACUCCGCCUGGGAAGUACGAUCGCAAGAUUAAAACUCAAAGGAAUUGACGGGGUCAUAGCUGUUUCC
This 561-nucleotide ribosomal RNA is filed under the name uncultured bacterium. RNAcentral's name for it is "partial 16S ribosomal RNA". It matches the Rfam family "Bacterial small subunit ribosomal RNA", at positions 355 to 937 of the family's 1533-position model. The record is from RNAcentral.